UACGUAGGACGCAAGCGUUAUCCGGAUUUAUUGGGUUUAAAGGGUGCGUAGGCGGAAGAAUAAGUCAGUGGUGAAAGACUGUCGCUCAACGAUAGCAUUGCCAUUGAUACUGUUUUUCUUGAGUGUAGUUGAGGUAGGCGGAAUGUGUAGUGUAGCGGUGAAAUGCUUAGAUAUUACACAGAACACCGAUUGCGGAGGCAGCUUACUAAGCUAUAACUGACGCUGAGGCACGAAAGCGUGGGGAU
Molecule: ribosomal RNA, 245 nt
Filed under: uncultured bacterium
Lineage: Bacteria
Description: partial 16S ribosomal RNA
Rfam family: Bacterial small subunit ribosomal RNA
Source: RNAcentral